AUUGAACGCUGGCGGCAUGCUUUACACAUGCAAGUCGAACGGCAGCGCGGGCUUCGGCCUGGCGGCGAGUGGCGAACGGGUGAGUAAUACAUCGGAACGUGCCCAGUAGUGGGGGAUAGCUCGGCGAAAGCCGGAUUAAUACCGCAUACGACCUGAGGGUGAAAGCGGGGGAUCUUCGGACCUCGCGCUAUUGGAGCGGCCGAUGGCAGAUUAGCUAGUUGGUGGGGUAAAGGCCUACCAAGGCGACGAUCUGUAGCUGGUCUGAGAGGACGACCAGCCACACUGGGACUGAGACACGGCCCAGAUUCCUACGGGAGGCAGCAGUGGGGAAUUUUGGACAAUGGGCGAAAGCCUGAUCCAGCAAUGCCGCGUGUGUGAUGAAGGCCUUCGGGUUGUAAAGCACUUUUGGCGGGAACGAAAAGGACUGUGCCAAUACCACGGUUCGAUGACGGUACCCGCAGAAUAAGCACCGGCUAACUACGU
This 483-nucleotide ribosomal RNA is filed under the name uncultured bacterium. RNAcentral's name for it is "partial 16S ribosomal RNA". It matches the Rfam family "Bacterial small subunit ribosomal RNA", at positions 29 to 506 of the family's 1533-position model. The record is from RNAcentral.